CCUACGGGAGGCAGCAGUGGGGAAUUUUGGACAAUGGGCGCAAGCCUGAUCCAGCCAUGCCGCGUGCGGGAAGAAGGCCUUCGGGUUGUAAACCGCUUUUGUCAGGGAAGAAAAGGUUCUGGCUAAUACCUGGGACUCAUGACGGUACCUGAAGAAUAAGCACCGGCUAACUACGUGCCAGCAGCCGCGGUAAUACGUAGGGUGCAAGCGUUAAUCGGAAUUACUGGGCGUAAAGCGUGCGCAGGCGGUUAUGCAAGACAGAGGUGAAAUCCCCGGGCUCAACCUGGGAACUGCCUUUGUGACUGCAUAGCUAGAGUGCGGCAGAGGGGGAUGGAAUUCCGCGUGUAGCAGUGAAAUGCGUAGAUAUGCGGAGGAACACCGAUGGCGAAGGCAAUCCCCUGGGCCUGCACUGACGCUCAUGCACGAAAGCGUGGGGAGCAAACAGGAUUAGAUACCCUGGUAGUCCACGCCCUAAACGAUGUCAACUGGUUGUUGGGAGGGUUUCUUCUCAGUAACGUAGCUAACGCGUGAAGUUGACCGCCUGGGGAGUCGGCCGCAAGGUUGAAACUCAAAUGAAUUGACGGCUGAGAGNGCGAGGCGACGACGAGGGAGGAGG
Molecule: ribosomal RNA, 616 nt
Filed under: uncultured bacterium
Lineage: Bacteria
Description: bacterial SSU rRNA
Rfam family: Bacterial small subunit ribosomal RNA
Source: RNAcentral